GACGAACGCUGGCGGCGUGCUUAACACAUGCAAGUCGAACGGUGAUCUUGAGAGCUUGCUCUUGGGUGAUCAGUGGCGAACGGGUGAGUAACACGUGAGUAACCUGCCCCUGACUCUGGAAUAACUUCGGGAAACCGAAGCUAAUACCGGAUAUGACACAGAGCCGCAUGGUUUCUGUGUGGAAAGUUUUUCGGUUGGGGAUGGACUCGCGGCCUAUCAGCUUGUUGGUGAGGUAAUGGCUCACCAAGGCGACGACGGGUAGCCGGCCUGAGAGGGCGACCGGCCACACUGGGACUGAGACACGGCCCAGACUCCUACGGGAGGCAGCAGUGGGGAAUAUUGCACAAUGGGCGAAAGCCUGAUGCAGCGACGCCGCGUGAGGGAUGAAGGCCUUCGGGUUGUAAACCGUCUUUCAGUAGGAGGAAGCGCAAGUGACGGUACCUACAGAAGAAGCACCGGCUAACUACGUAGCCAGCAGCCGCGGUAAAGUACACGUGUACG
Molecule: ribosomal RNA, 501 nt
Filed under: uncultured bacterium
Lineage: Bacteria
Description: bacterial SSU rRNA
Rfam family: Bacterial small subunit ribosomal RNA
Source: RNAcentral